This 497-nucleotide ribosomal RNA is filed under the name uncultured bacterium. RNAcentral's name for it is "partial 16S ribosomal RNA". It matches the Rfam family "Bacterial small subunit ribosomal RNA", at positions 28 to 507 of the family's 1533-position model. The record is from RNAcentral.
GAUGAACGCUGGCGGCGUGCCUAAUACAUGCCAGUCGAACGCAUGGAGGAAAAGGUUGCCUCCUUGAAAUUAGCGGGGGACGGGGGGGGAACAAGUGGAAAACCCUGCUAUAAGACUGGGAAUACCAUGGGAAACCAGAUCCUAAACCGGAAAAUAUCUUGAUCUGCAAGGUUACAAAGUGAAAGACCGUCUUGCUGUCACUUAUAGAUGGAUCCGCGGUGCAUUAGUUAGUUGGUAAGGUAACGGCCUACCAAGACAAUGAUGCAUAGCCGACUUGAGAGAGUGAUCGGCCACAUUGGGACUGAGACACGGUCCAGACUCCUACGGGAGGCAGCAGUAGGGAAUCUUCCGCAAUGGGCGAAAGCCUGACGGAGCAACGCCGCGUGUGUGAUGAAGGCUUUCGGAUCGUAAAGCACUGUUGUAUGGGAAGAACAGAUGUGAAAGGAAAUGAUCACAGCUUGACGGUACCUAACCAGAAAGCCACGGCUAAAUACGUG